RNAcentral lists this ribosomal RNA (807 nucleotides) under Triticum aestivum (bread wheat). RNAcentral's name for it is "partial small subunit ribosomal RNA". Lineage: Eukaryota; Viridiplantae; Streptophyta; Magnoliopsida; Poales; Poaceae. The record is from RNAcentral.
AUGAUGUUCCCACAACUCAAGUGGUACCUUGUCCUCUCUACUUAUCUUGUUGUCCCUCUACUCGCCUUCUGCAACUCAUAUGGCACUGGCCUAACAAAUUGCAACCUUGCAUCGACAUAUGGAAAGACAGGCCUUUUCAUUUUUGCCUCAUGGGUUGGCCAUCAUGGUGGUGUGAUCGCUGGCUUAGCAGCUUGUGGUGUUAUGAUGUCCAUAAUAUCCACUGCCAGUGAUCUCAUGCAGGACUUCAAGACUAGUUACCUCACACUCUCUUCGCCAAGGUCCAUGUUUGUGUCACAGUUGAUUGGGACCGCUCUUGGUUGUGUCAUUGCACCCCUCACCUUUUGGCUUUACUGGAUGUCAUUCGAUAUUGGCAAUCCCGAUGGCAUGUUCAAAGCUCCAUACGUUGUCAUCUACCGUGAGAUGUCAAUCAUGGGUGUCGAAGGAUUCUCAGUGCUACCGCAACACUGCCUAGCAAUCUGCUCUGUCUUCUUCUUUGUAGCCAUAGCAAUCAACCUCCUGCGAGACGUCACUCCAACAAGGGUGUCAAAUUUCAUCCCACUCCCGAUGGCCAUGGUUGUUCCGUUUUACAUUGGGGCAUACUUUGCGAUUGACAUGUUUGUUGGCACUGUCAUCUUGUUUGUUUGGGAGAGGGUGAACCGUAAGGAGUCCGAGGACUUCGCAGGUGCGGUUGCUUCUGGUUUGAUAUGUGGUGAUGGUAUUUGGAGUGUCCCUUCUUCGGUAUUGUCCAUCUUGAAGAUUGACCCGCCGAUGUGCAUGUACAUCAAGCCAUCCCUUACCUACGGCUGA